CUCCUCGACUGACCUUUGUUUUUAUGCCACGUUUCUGGGCCACUGAUUAUUAAUGGUUGGAUUGAGGAGCUUUGGAG
Molecule: small nucleolar RNA, 77 nt
Organism: Micropterus dolomieu (smallmouth bass)
Lineage: Eukaryota; Metazoa; Chordata; Actinopteri; Centrarchiformes; Centrarchidae
Product: small nucleolar RNA SNORD66
Exons: 1
Source: RefSeq, a predicted model, not a curated record